AGAACGACUCUCGGCAACGGAUAUCUCGGCUCUCGCAUCGAUGAAGAACGUAGCGAAAUGCGAUACUUGGUGUGAAUUGCAGAAUCCCGUGAACCAUCGAGUCUUUGAACGCAAGUUGCGCCCCAAGCCUUCGGGCCGAGGGCACGUCUGCCUGGGCGUCACGC
This 164-nucleotide ribosomal RNA is filed under the name Dirca palustris (leatherwood). Its description in RNAcentral is "5.8S ribosomal RNA". It matches the Rfam family "5.8S ribosomal RNA". Rfam says of the family: 5.8S ribosomal RNA (5.8S rRNA) is a component of the large subunit of the eukaryotic ribosome. It is transcribed by RNA polymerase I as part of the 45S precursor that also contains 18S and 28S rRNA. RNAcentral also lists the same sequence under 2 other names. Lineage: Eukaryota; Viridiplantae; Streptophyta; Magnoliopsida; Malvales; Thymelaeaceae. The record is from RNAcentral.